This 440-nucleotide ribosomal RNA is filed under the name uncultured bacterium. RNAcentral describes it as "bacterial SSU rRNA". It matches the Rfam family "Bacterial small subunit ribosomal RNA", at positions 30 to 465 of the family's 1533-position model. The record is from RNAcentral.
AUUGAACGCUGGCGGCAUGCCUUACACAUGCAAGUCGAACGGCAGCACGGGUGCUUGCACCUGGUGGCGAGUGGCGAACGGGUGAGUAAUACAUCGGAACGUACCUUAUCGUGGGGGGAUAACGCAGCGAAAGCUGUGCUAAUACCGCAUACGCCCUGAGGGGGAAAGCGGGGGAUCGAAAGACCUCGCGCGAUUAGAGCGGCCGAUGCCUGAUUAGCUUGUUGGUGGGGUAAAAGCCCACCAAGGCGACGAUCAGUAGCUGGUCUGAGAGGACGAUCAGCCACACUGGGACUGAGACACGGCCCAGACUCCUACGGGAGGCAGCAGUGGGGAAUUUUGGACAAUGGGGGCAACCCUGAUCCAGCAAUGCCGCGUGAGUGAAGAAGGCCUUCGGGUUGUAAAGCUCUUUGUCUAGGAGAAAUCUUCUGAGUUAAUACCUC